AGUCGGACGGGAUCCAUCGGUAGCUUGCUACCGAUGGUGAGAGUGGCGCACGGGUGCGUAACGCGUGAGCAACCUGCCCAUAUCAGGGGGAUAGCCCGGAGAAAUCCGGAUUAACACCGCAUGCAACCGAAGGAUGGCAUCAUCUUCCGGUUAAAUAUUCAUAGGAUAUGGAUGGGCUCGCGUGACAUUAGCUAGUUGGUGGGGUAACGGCCCACCAAGGCGACGAUGUCUAGGGGCUCUGAGAGGAGAAUCCCCCACACUGGUACUGAGACACGGACCAGACUCCUACGGGAGGCAGCAGUAAGGAAUAUUGGUCAAUGGGGGCAACCCUGAACCAGCCAUGCCGCGUGCAGGACGACUGCCCUAUGGGUUGUAAACUGCUUUUGUUAGGGAAUAAACCCCACUACGUGUAGUGGGCUGAAUGUACCUAAAGAAUAAGGAUCGGCUAACUCCGUGCCAGCAGCCGCGGUAAUACGGAGGAUCCGAGCGUUAUCCGGAUUUAUUGGGUUUAAAGGGUGCGUAGGCGGCACUUUAAGUCAGGGGUGAAAGACGGCAGCUCAACUGUCGCAGUGCCCUUGAUACUGAAGUGCUUGAAUGCGGUUGAAGACGGCGGAAUGAGACAAGUAGCGGUGAAAUGCAUAGAUAUGUCUCAGAACACCGAUUGCGAAGGCAGCUGUCUAAGCCGUUAUUGACGCUGAUGCACGAAAGCGUGGGGAUCGAACAGGAUUAGAUACCCUGGUAGUCCACGCCCUAAACGAUGAUGACUCGAUGUUUGCGAUAUACCGUAAGCGUCCAAGCGAAAGCGUUAAGUCAUCCACCUGGGGAGUACGCCCGCAAGGGUGAAACUCAAAGGAAUUGACGGGGGCCCGCACAAGCGGAGGAGCAUGUGGUUUAAUUCGAUGAUACGCGAGGAACCUUACCCGGGCUUGAAAGUUACUGAAGGGCGCAGAGACGCGCCCGUCCCUCGGGACAGGAAACUAGGUGCUGCAUGGCUGUCGUCAGCUCGUGCCGUGAGGUGUUGGGUUAAGUCCCGCAACGAGCGCAACCCCUAUG
RNAcentral lists this ribosomal RNA (1053 nucleotides) under Flavobacterium sp. VRE230B15_13_2A. RNAcentral describes it as "bacterial SSU rRNA". It matches the Rfam family "Bacterial small subunit ribosomal RNA", at positions 60 to 1109 of the family's 1533-position model. The record is from RNAcentral. Lineage: Bacteria; Pseudomonadati; Bacteroidota; Flavobacteriia; Flavobacteriales; Flavobacteriaceae.